UGGGCAACCUGCCCUCAGCUCUGGGACAACUCCGGGAAACCGGGGCUAAUACCGGAUACGACCUUCCCUCGCAUGGGGGUUGGUGGAAAGUUCUUCGGCUGAGGAUGGGCCUGCGGCCUAUCAGCUUGUUGGUGGGGUAACGGCCUACCAAGGCGACGACGGGUAGCUGGUCUGAGAGGACGACCAGCCACACUGGAACUGAGAUACGGUCCAGACUCCUACGGGAGGCA
RNAcentral lists this ribosomal RNA (230 nucleotides) under uncultured bacterium. RNAcentral describes it as "partial 16S ribosomal RNA". It matches the Rfam family "Bacterial small subunit ribosomal RNA", at positions 118 to 350 of the family's 1533-position model. The record is from RNAcentral.